GACAAACGCUGGCGGCGUGCCUAAUACAUGCAAGUCGAGCGCAGGAAGCUGACGGAACUCUUCGGAGAGAAGGCAGUGGAAUGAGCGGCGGACGGGUGAGUAACGCGUAAGGAACCUGCCUCAAGGAUUGGGAUAACUCCGAGAAAUCGGAGCUAAUACCGGAUAGUUCAACGGACCGCAUGGUCCGCUGAUGAAAGGCGCUUCGGCGUCACCUUGAGAUAGCCUUGCGGUGCAUUAGCUAGUUGGUGGGGUAACGGCCCACCAAGGCGACGAUGCAUAGCCGACCUGUGAGGGUGAUCGGCCACACUGGGACUGAGACACGGCCCAGACUCCUACGGGAGUCAGCAGUAGGGAAUCUUCCACAAUGGACGAAAGUCUGAUGGAGCAACGCCGCGUGAGUGAUGAAGGUUUUCGGAUCGUAAAACUCUGUUGUAAGGGAAGAACACGUACGAGAGGGAAUGCUCGUACCUUGACGGUACCUUACGAGAAAGCCACGGCUAACUACGUGCCAGCCGCCGCGGUAA
This 524-nucleotide ribosomal RNA is filed under the name uncultured bacterium. Its description in RNAcentral is "partial 16S ribosomal RNA". It matches the Rfam family "Bacterial small subunit ribosomal RNA", at positions 28 to 523 of the family's 1533-position model. The record is from RNAcentral.